AGAUAUGGGGGUCCAAGGGGGUCCCAGGGGUGAUAUGAGGGUCCCAGGGGGGUCCUAGGAGCAAUAUGAGGGUCCCAAGGGUGAUAUGGGGGUCCCAGGGGGGGAUAUGGUGGUCCCAGGGGUGAUAUGGGGGUCCCAGGGGGGUUCCCAGGGGGUGCUGCUAUGGGGGGGGCAUCAAGGGGGUCCCAGGGGUGAAAUAGUGGGGGUCCCAGGUGAUAUGGGGGGU
RNAcentral lists this long non-coding RNA (226 nucleotides) under Coturnix japonica (Japanese quail). RNAcentral's name for it is "lncRNA (ENSCJPG00005002660.1)". Lineage: Eukaryota; Metazoa; Chordata; Aves; Galliformes; Phasianidae. The record is from RNAcentral.